RNAcentral lists this ribosomal RNA (94 nucleotides) under Oncidium hallii. Its description in RNAcentral is "5.8S ribosomal RNA". It matches the Rfam family "5.8S ribosomal RNA", at positions 1 to 89 of the family's 154-position model. From Rfam's summary of the family: 5.8S ribosomal RNA (5.8S rRNA) is a component of the large subunit of the eukaryotic ribosome. The record is from RNAcentral. Lineage: Eukaryota; Viridiplantae; Streptophyta; Magnoliopsida; Asparagales; Orchidaceae.
GACACGACUCUCGGCAAUGGAUAUCUCGGCUCUUGCAUCGAUGAAGAACGCAGCGAAAUGCGAUACGUGGUGCGAAUUGCAGAAUCCCGCGAAC